RNAcentral lists this ribosomal RNA (253 nucleotides) under uncultured bacterium. RNAcentral describes it as "partial 16S ribosomal RNA". It matches the Rfam family "Bacterial small subunit ribosomal RNA", at positions 524 to 776 of the family's 1533-position model. The record is from RNAcentral.
UACAGAGGGUGCAAGCGUUAAUUGGAAUUACUGGGCGUAAAGCGUGCGCAGGCGGCUUUGCAAGACAGAUGUGAAAUCCCCGGGCUCAACCUGGGAACUGCAUUUGUGACUGCAAGGCUAGAGUACGGCAGAGGGGGAUGGAAUUCCGCGUGUAGCAGUGAAAUGCGUAGAUAUGCGGAGGAACACCAAUGGCGAAGGCAAUCCCCUGGGCCUGUACUGACGCUCAUGCACGAAAGCGUGGGGAGCAAACAGG